Molecule: transfer RNA, 85 nt
Filed under: Felis catus (domestic cat)
Lineage: Eukaryota; Metazoa; Chordata; Mammalia; Carnivora; Felidae
Rfam family: tRNA
About the family: Transfer RNA (tRNA) molecules are approximately 80 nucleotides in length. Their secondary structure includes four short double-helical elements and three loops (D, anti-codon, and T loops). Further hydrogen bonds mediate the characteristic L-shaped molecular structure. tRNAs have two regions of fundamental functional importance: the anti-codon, which is responsible for specific mRNA codon recognition, and the 3' end, to which the tRNAs corresponding amino acid is attached (by aminoacyl-tRNA synthetases). tRNAs cope with the degeneracy of the genetic code in two manners: having more than one tRNA (with a specific anti-codon) for a particular amino acid; and 'wobble' base-pairing, i.e. permitting non-standard base-pairing at the 3rd anti-codon position.
Source: Rfam by way of RNAcentral
GCCUGGGUGGCUCAGCCGGCUAAGCGUCCGACUUCGGCUCGGGUCAUGAUCUCGCGGUCUGUGGGUUCGAGCCCCGCUUCGGGCU